UGCAGGGAGGCGCCAUAAACUACGAAACUGGGGAAGAUGUUCAAAGUGUUUUUGGUCCAUAUUUCUUUGACGAUGGGUCAAAUAACUUGAAACAUGACAAGGAAGGGCUCCUAUCUAUGCCCAGAAGAGACUUCAGAGAUUGCCGUUCUCACUUUUUGAUCACAUUGAGAGCUGAUGAGAGCCUUGA
Molecule: long non-coding RNA, 187 nt
Organism: Neltuma alba
Lineage: Eukaryota; Viridiplantae; Streptophyta; Magnoliopsida; Fabales; Fabaceae
Exons: 3
Source: RefSeq, a predicted model, not a curated record